UUCCAAGUCUAAGCCACUUUUAUGGUUGGAGCAAAGAGUGGAGCCCUUCUCUUUUCAUGGUAGAUGAGCGGACCGUGUGUUUAACAACGGAAACGGAGGAGAACCGUGGAUCCUGGACUGAUGAGAGCCCUGUAUUGUGCCUUGUGCCUGGAGUGUGUGUGAACUGUGAGCCUCUGGCCGGGUCUUUUUCUUUUCCUCGUCUUUUCCUUUUGUUUUAAUUCCCUUCUUUGUUAUGGACUCCUGUGCUGACCUUGAAGAAAUCUUCUACUGGGGACUCAUCUUGUGUCUGUAAGGUAACACGGGACCUCAGUGGUUGUGGCGGGCCAACCCAAGGAAAGAACCAGAGACUCUGAUUUAGAUAGAGACUGAUUUAUUUGCGGAUCGUGGUUGAUAUUUCAUUGUUGAAGAGCUG
Long non-coding RNA from Salarias fasciatus (jewelled blenny), 412 nucleotides. RefSeq lists it as uncharacterized. Lineage: Eukaryota; Metazoa; Chordata; Actinopteri; Blenniiformes; Blenniidae. The transcript is spliced from 3 exons. The record is from RefSeq and is a predicted model, not a curated record.